RNAcentral lists this ribosomal RNA (483 nucleotides) under uncultured bacterium. RNAcentral's name for it is "bacterial SSU rRNA". It matches the Rfam family "Bacterial small subunit ribosomal RNA", at positions 30 to 506 of the family's 1533-position model. The record is from RNAcentral.
AUUGAACGCUGGCGGCAUGCCUUACACAUGCAAGUCGAACGGCAGCGCGGGGCAACCUGGCGGCGAGUGGCGAACGGGUGAGUAACAUAUCGGAACAUACCCUAGAGUGGGGGGAUAACGUAGCGAAAGUUACGCUAAUACCGCAUACGCACUAAGGUGGAAAGUGGGGGGAUCUUCGGACCUCAUGCUCAUGGAGUGGCCGAUAUCUGAUUAGCUAGUUGGUGAGGUAAAGGCUCACCAAGGCGACGAUCAGUAGCUGGUUUGAGAGAACGACCAGCCACACUGGAACUGAGACACGGUCCAGACUCCUACGGGAGGCAGCAGUGGGGGAAUUUUGGACAAUGGACGCAAGUCUGAUCCAGCCAUUCCGCGUGCAGGAUGAAGGCCCUCGGGUUGUAAACUGCUUUGUACGGACGAAAGGUUCUAUUAAUACUUAGGAGCGUCAUGACGGUACCGUAAGAAUAAGACACCGGCUAACUACGU